GAUCCUGGCUCAGGAUGAACGCUGGCGGCGUGCUUAACACAUGCAAGUCGAGCGAAGCACUUAGGAAAGAUUCUUCGGAUGAUUUCCUAUUUGACUGAGCGGCGGACGGGUGAGUAACGCGUGGGUAACCUGCCUCAUACAGGGGGAUAACAGUUAGAAAUGACUGCUAAUACCGCAUAAGACCACAGCACCGCAUGGUGCNGGGGUAAAAACUCCGGUGGUAUGAGAUGGACCCGCGU
RNAcentral lists this ribosomal RNA (239 nucleotides) under uncultured bacterium. RNAcentral's name for it is "partial 16S ribosomal RNA". It matches the Rfam family "Bacterial small subunit ribosomal RNA", at positions 15 to 236 of the family's 1533-position model. The record is from RNAcentral.